This 122-nucleotide microRNA precursor is filed under the name Aegilops tauschii. RNAcentral's name for it is "miR156b stem-loop (ata-MIR156b)". Its record names the gene ata-MIR156b. The stretch from base 10 to 111 matches the Rfam family "mir-156 microRNA precursor family". Rfam says of the family: This family represents the plant microRNA (miRNA) precursor mir-156. The record is from miRBase by way of RNAcentral. Lineage: Eukaryota; Viridiplantae; Streptophyta; Magnoliopsida; Poales; Poaceae.
AGGUGGAGGCUGACAGAAGAGAGUGAGCACACAUGGUGCCUUUCUUGCAUGGUGAAUUAAUGGGAGAAGUUCAUGCUUGAAGCUAUGUGUGCUCAUUUCUCUCUCUGUCAGCCAUUAUAACU